AGCUUGCUAGGAGGCGUCGAGCGGCGGACGGGUGAGUAAUGCAUAGGAAUCUGCCCGAUAGUGGGGGAUAACCUGGGGAAACUCAGGCUAAUACCGCAUACGUCCUACGGGAGAAAGCAGGGGAUCUUCGGACCUUGCGCUAUCGGAUGAGCCUAUGUCGGAUUAGCUUGUUGGUGAGGUAAUGGCUCACCAAGGCGACGAUCCGUAGCUGGUCUGAGAGGAUGAUCAGCCACAUCGGGACUGAGACACGGCCCGAACUCCUACGGGAGGCAGCAGUGGGGAAUAUUGGACAAUGGGCGAAAGCCUGAUCCAGCCAUGCCGCGUGUGUGAAGAAGGCUUUCGGGUUGUAAAGCACUUUCAGUGAGGAAGAACGCCUUCGGCUUAAUACGCCGGAGGAAAGACAUCACUCACAGAAGAAGCACCGGCUAACUCCGUGCCAGCAGCCGCGGUAAUACGGAGGGUGCGAGCGUUAAUCGGAAUUACUGGGCGUAAAGCGCGCGUAGGUGGCUUGAUAAGCCGGUUGUGAAAGCCCCGGGCUCAACCUGGGAACGGCAUCCGGAACUGUCAGGCUAGAGUGCAGGAGAGGAAGGUAGAAUUCCCGGUGUAGCGGUGAAAUGCGUAGAGAUCGGGAGGAAUACCAGUGGCGAAGGCGGCCUUCUGGACUGACACUGACACUGAGGUGCGAAAGCGUGGGUAGCAAACAGGAUUAGAUACCCUGGUAGUCCACGCCGUAAACGAUGUCGACU
RNAcentral lists this ribosomal RNA (746 nucleotides) under Halomonas denitrificans. Its description in RNAcentral is "bacterial SSU rRNA". It matches the Rfam family "Bacterial small subunit ribosomal RNA", at positions 77 to 817 of the family's 1533-position model. The record is from RNAcentral. Lineage: Bacteria; Pseudomonadati; Pseudomonadota; Gammaproteobacteria; Oceanospirillales; Halomonadaceae.